Long non-coding RNA from Salvia miltiorrhiza (redroot sage), 1005 nucleotides. RefSeq lists it as uncharacterized. NCBI's taxonomy places the organism in Eukaryota, Viridiplantae, Streptophyta, Magnoliopsida, Lamiales, Lamiaceae. The record is from RefSeq and is a predicted model, not a curated record. The transcript is spliced from 2 exons.
CUCAAAGAAUCGCUGCCUCAUUCUCUCAUCUCAUCACAGUUCGACGCCGCCGCCUCUGGAAGACCAGCGAGCAGCGCCGUCGUCGCGUCGCCUCCGCGUUCGAUUUCUGGCGAGACCCCGUGCUUGGAGUUCCACGAACCGCGCUGUGCUUCAAAGGAGAUCAGCAAGGGCCGCCGUUGGUUUUGUACAUCCGGCGAAGUCGAUGCCCUUCGCCCGCCUUCUAAUUCUCUCACAGAAUGGCUCAAGUUCCUCCUUUCAAAACGAGCCCUAGCUCUCCGCCGAUUCAGGCGGAAUCGCCGCGCCGCUGGGCUACGUCCGCCGCUGCUCUUGAAUCCAGCGAAGUCGAGGCGACCGUAGGCGCCGCUUCUGAAAUCCCGGGUCACCGCCCUGGUUCGACGCCGUUGCGUCGAACCUGGAGUCCGGCGGAGCAGGGCAGUCAACCCCCUCCUCUUCCGUGCGGUUAGCGUCGACGUCAAGCCGUCAUCUUUCCCCGUUUAAAUGAAACAGGGGAAUUGGAAUGGAGUUGGAAGAAAAAUUCAAGCCGAACGUACCUUUCGAAGCCUGGCAGCAGCAGCUGAGUCUACUUGCUCUUUCUCGGAUUGUUGAAGAAUAAGGAAAUGAAUGAAAAAAGAAUUGUGGUCUGAAAUGAUAAGGGUGAAGAUGUUGGCUCAUGCAUGGGGAAUGUGAGAGGAUUGUAGGAGGUGACUGGAUGGGGGGAGGUGCUGCUGCAGUUAUCUUUUGCACACACCCACACGUUUCCUUUUUACCUUCCUUUGAUAUAAUAUGGUAGUCUAGAGUAGGAGUAGGUUUUACCCCCUUUUGAUGUAGUAGGGUAGUCUAGAGUAGGAGUAGCAAGGAUGAUGCUUGUAAAUGUAGAGUGUAAUGUGAUAAUUAAAAUAAUUCUGUCUUGCUAAAUUGUAUCUGUAAAUCUAAUUCCGGGUAUGCUAAAUAACGAUGCUUUGUUAUAACUCUCUGUGAAUUAAAUAUAUAAUAUAACUUGCUCUU